GGUGAACUGGCGGCGGCCUAACAUGCAAGUCGAGCGGAAACGACACUAACAUCCUUCGCGUGCGUUAAUGGGCGUCGAGCGGCGGACGGGUGAGUAAUGCCUAGGAAAUUGCCUUGAUGUGGGGGAUAACCAUUGGAAACGAUGGCUAAUACCGCAUAAUGCCUACGGGCCAAAGAGGGGGACCUCCGGGCCUCUCGCGUCAAGAUAUGCCUAGGUGGGAUUAGCUAGUUGGUGAGGUAAUGGCUCACCAAGGCGACGAUCCCUAGCUGGUCUGAGAGGAUGAUCAGCCACACUGGAACUGAGACACGGUCCAGACUCCUACGGGAGGCAGCAGUGGGGAAUAUUGCACAAUGGGCGAAAGCCUGAUGCAGCCAUGCCGCGUGUAUGAAGAAGGCCUUCGGGUUGUAAAGUACUUUCAGUUGUGAGGAAGGGGGUAGUGUUAAUAGCGCUAUCUCUUGACGUUAGCAACAGAAGAAGCACCGGCUAACUCCGUGCCAGCAGCCGCGGUAAUACGGAGGGUGCGAGCGUUAUCGGAAUUACUGGGCGUAAAGCGCAUGCAGGUGGUUCAUUAGUCAGAUGUGAAAGCCCGGGGACUCACCUCGAACUGCAUUUGAAACUGGUGAACUAGAAGUACUGUAAGGGGGGUAAAUUUCAUGUGGAAGCGGUGAAAUGGGGUAAAGAUCUGAACGAAUACCCGUGCCUAAGGCGGCCCCCCGGUAAAAUUCUUAAACCCAAAUUCUAAAGCGUGGGAAACCAAAAGGAAUAAAAUCCCCGGUAUCCACCCCCCAACCCUCGCCUAUUGCGGUUUUGCCCUUGGCCCGUUGUUUUUGGCGUCGCAGCCCUUAAUUUACCCCCCGGGGACAUCGCCCCCCAUUUU
Molecule: ribosomal RNA, 877 nt
Filed under: Vibrio crassostreae
Lineage: Bacteria; Pseudomonadati; Pseudomonadota; Gammaproteobacteria; Vibrionales; Vibrionaceae
Description: bacterial SSU rRNA
Rfam family: Bacterial small subunit ribosomal RNA
Source: RNAcentral